CACAUAUAGAGAUCAGGCAUUGAAACACACACACACUCAUGUGGGUCAGUAGCACUGCUCAAUGCAACAUGAGUCCUGGGGCUGGACAUGGCAUGGGUCGGCUUGUUACGGGUUUGCUCGGAUUGGAACAAAACACGUGCUACCACACUGACACACACUUUGGGCUCAGGACAAAGCUCCUCCUGUGUUCUCUGCAUUACACUGCCAUCCCAACCCUCGGCGGGAGGUUGAACUGUCGUAUUGAGACUAGUGUGCUUGUCUGCCUGUGUGUGUGUGUGUUUCAACUGUGUGUGAUUGAUAGAUUGGUCUGAUGGUUUGAAAGGGAAAGUGAGUGAGGGAGAGAAAAGGCUGCGUGAGGGAGAGAGAAGGCUGCGUGAGGGAGAGAAGGCUGCGUGAGGGAGAGAGAAGGCUGCGUGAGGGAGAGAGAAGGCUGCGUGAGGGAGAGAGAAGGCUGCGUGAGGGAGAGAAAAGGCUGCGUGAGGGAGAGAAAAGGCUGCGUGAGGGAGAGAGAAGGCUGCGUGAGGGAGAGAGAAGGCUGCGUGAGGGAGAGAAAGGCUGCGUGAGGGAGGGAGAGAGGGGGAGGGAGCGAGAGUCAAGAGGUGGAGCGUUAUACGAGGGUCUCUGAACCACUGUAAUCUGAUUUAAGCUGCUUAUAGAAGAGGGGAGAGAGGGAGAGAGAGAGACCGGGAUGCUGAAAGAGAUGCAAAGAGAGAUUGGAUGCACAAUUACACUGACUAAAUCAGUGCACUUGGACUUCAAAAUGUAAGGUUUUUCCGAUCGCUUUGUUGGGAACCUUGUUGUCCAGUGAUAGUGGUUUUGGGAGAUCUAUGGAGCGAUGCUGGGAGGUUGACUGCUUUGGACUGGCAAUGUGCUGGGGCUUUCAUUCUCUCUGCUGGUUCAAUCAGGGAUGUCACCUGAGUGCUGGGAAGAUGAUCUGAAUCAAACUCUUGUUCUUGCUCAUUAGGCGGAUGAAAACCUUCACCCCUUAAACCUCCAGCCUUUUCUGACUUCUUAAGUCACUGGGAUGGUUGAUUGAAACGUUGACCUUUUUAUUCCCUGAUCGGAAUGAUGGAUUUGUACUUUGAUGGACUUUUGGUGGACUCUAACCCCUGACUUCUAAGUUAACCCCUGACAUGCUGAUAGUGUGGUGGUGUUCGGCCCUCCUGACCUACGUGUCCCUCUACCUCUCCCUGUCCUUCCUGCGUAG
RNAcentral lists this long non-coding RNA (1207 nucleotides) under Salmo salar (Atlantic salmon). Its description in RNAcentral is "lncRNA (ENSSSAG00000107915.1)". Lineage: Eukaryota; Metazoa; Chordata; Actinopteri; Salmoniformes; Salmonidae. The record is from RNAcentral.